AAGUCGUAACAAGGUUUCCGUAGGUGAACCUGCGGAGGAUCAUUAAUGAGUUAGGGUCUCCGGGCCCGACCUCCAACCCUUUGUUGUCACAAAACCAAUUUGUUGCUUUGGCGUGGACCGCCCGCGAGGGCUGCCGGUCUUAGGCCCCGGCAUUGCGCCCGCCAGAGGAAAACCAACUCUGUUCAUCAAACCGUUACGUCUGACUAAAAAUGAUUAAGUCAAUCAAAA
RNAcentral lists this unclassified non-coding RNA (228 nucleotides) under plant metagenome. RNAcentral describes it as "partial contains small subunit ribosomal RNA and internal transcribed spacer 1". The stretch from base 1 to 45 matches the Rfam family "Eukaryotic small subunit ribosomal RNA", at positions 1786 to 1831 of the family's 1831-position model. The record is from RNAcentral.